CCAGACUCCUACGGGAGGCAGCAGUGAGGAAUAUUGGUCAAUGGCCGAGAGGCUGAACCAGCCAAGUCGCGUGAGGGAUGACGGCCCUACGGGUUGUAAACCUCUUUUGCCGGGGAGCAAAGAGCGGGACGCGUCCCGCCUCGAGAGUACCCGGAGAAAAAGCAUCGGCUAACUCCGUGCCAGCAGCCGCGGUAAUACGGAGGAUGCGAGCGUUAUCCGGAUUUAUUGGGUUUAAAGGGUGCGCAGGCGGUCGGUAAGGGCAGGGGAAACGGCCGGGGCCCCACCCCCGCCCCGCCGUUGAAACUGGCAGUCUCGAGUUGGAGAGAAGUAUGCGGAAUGCGCGGUGUAGCGGUGAAAUGCAUAGAUAUCGCGCAGAACUCCGAUUGCGAAGGCAGCAUGCCGGCUCCACACUGACGCUGAGGCACGAAAGCGUGGGUAUCGAACAGGAUUAGAUACCCUUGUA
Molecule: ribosomal RNA, 463 nt
Filed under: uncultured bacterium
Lineage: Bacteria
Description: bacterial SSU rRNA
Rfam family: Bacterial small subunit ribosomal RNA
Source: RNAcentral